Molecule: ribosomal RNA, 50 nt
Filed under: Panagrolaimus detritophagus
Lineage: Eukaryota; Metazoa; Nematoda; Chromadorea; Rhabditida; Panagrolaimidae
Description: partial 5.8S ribosomal RNA
Source: RNAcentral
UAUCAAUUAAUUUUGGAUAGUUAGUAAAAUAACGAGAUUUAAUAACUUGU